Molecule: long non-coding RNA, 2842 nt
Organism: Oncorhynchus tshawytscha (Chinook salmon)
Lineage: Eukaryota; Metazoa; Chordata; Actinopteri; Salmoniformes; Salmonidae
Source: Ensembl
GUCCUUAUUCUGUGUUAGUUUACACAAGUAUAGGCUGUUUCGGUUUUUGUUACGUUUAGUGUGUUUGUCAUUAAACAUGGAUCGCAAUCUACACGCUGCAUUUUGGUCCGACUAUCCUUCACACCUAGAGAACCGUAACAACCUCUUCAUGAUGGACAGAUGUUAAGCGGCAGCUGUAAGCGAUGUCUGAUUGCAAAAGUAAGACCAUCGCUGAAGCAAAGACCGUUCUAACGAGUUCUGCAGAGUUAUUCAAGGAAGGAAAGAGAGGAAGGCUCCACACUACUCUCUCACUUGAGUAUCCUACCUAGUUAUUUAUAGAUCAUCUCAUUUUGCUCUUUUGUAGCUUUGGCAACUGUUUUCUAUCCCAGUUUGCUCCCUUCCCUGUAGGCUUUACAGAUGCUCCACACCCCUUGGCUGCAAUCUUUGUAAUUUAGUGUGCCUUACGUGCAUAACCCAUGUGGAUUUCCAGGUCUCCAGCAGCAAUUGGAACUGCCAAUCUGCAGUCAAGAACAAAGCGCUCAUGUCAGCCUAUUCUGCAUUUCAGUCCCUUGACUUUUUGGCCCUGAUGGAGACAUGAAUCACCCCAGAGAACACCACUACUCCAGCUGCUCUCUCCACCUGACUACGUUUUCUCUUAGUCAGAGAGCAUCUGGUCGUUGAGGUGGUGGCACAGGGCUACUCAUUCCUCCUAAGUGGAGAUUUUCUUUUUACUCCCUCUCUCACCUGUCCUUUUCCUCAUUUCAAUUCCAUUCUGUCACUAGUUCACUCAAGCAUAAUGUUGUUGUCAUUUAUGGACCACCAAAUCCCCUUAGAGUUCCUCAAUAUAAGCUCAUUUCCUGACGAUGGCUCACCGCUCUUCGUACUUGGUGACUUCAACCUCCUGACGUCUGCCUUCAAUUAAUUUCUUUCCAACUCUUUCCCCUCCUUGCCUCUUGACCUAUCCCUUCACCAGUCCCCUCCCACUCACAAGGCAGGCAAUACCGCCCCUCCAGGUCUCUGAUCACUACUUUGUUUCCCUUUCUUCCUUCCUCCCUCUCCUCCAACCCUAGCCACUCAACCCCAAAUCCAGAUUGUGACGGCACAUUACUAUCUUCCCUCUCUCUCACUACUCUCUCUCCUAUCCCCUCUCCCUUCUGCUAAUCCUUCUUUGCUGUCUCCUGAUUCUGGCUCUUCAACACUACUCUCUUCCCUCUAACCCUAGGAAACUAUUUUCCACCUUUUUCUCCCUCCUUAAUCCUCCCCUCUCUCUCUGCAGACAACUUUGUCAACCACUUUGAAAAGAAGGUUGACAUCUGCUUCUCACUCAGCUUGAGUUCACUGGUCCCACUCACACAGAACUACCCUACACCUUGACCCAUUCUCUCUCCAAAUGAAAUUCUGCGACUAGUGAGGUCUGGCUGCCCAACAAUCUGCCCGCCCGACCACAUCUACUUCUCCCUUCUCCAGACCAUCUUUGGACCUUCUCCCAUUCCUCACUUACUUCAGCAACUCAUCGCUGACCACUGGCUACAUCCCCUCUGACAUGAAAAUGGCCGGAGUCGCUUCCCCUCAAGAAACCAACACUUGACUCCUCUGACAUCAAACUACAGACUGGUAUCCCUUUCUUUUCUUUCCAAAACACUUGAGCAUGCGGCCUCUGACCAACUCUCUCUGUCUCUCUCAGAAUAUUCUUGACCCAAAUCAGUCAGGCUUCAAGACGGGUCACUCAACCGAGACUGCUCUUCUGUGUUACGGAAGCUCUCUGCUCUUCCAAAGCUGACUCUUUCUCCUCUGUUCUCGUCCUCUUAGAUCUACCCGCUGCCUUCGACACCGUGAACUAGCAGAUCCUUCUCUCCACCCUCUCAGGGCUGGGAGUCUCAGGCUCUGCGCACUCUUGGAUUGCAUCCUACGCUAUAUAUACAAAAGUAUGUGGACAGCCCUUCAAAUUUGUGUAUUUGGCUAAUUCAGCCACACCUGUUGCUGUCAGGUAUAUAAUAUCGAGCACACAGCCAUGCAAUCUCUAUAGACAAACAUUGACAGUAGAAUGGCCUUACUGAAGAGCUCAGUGAGUUUCAACAUGGCACCGUCAUAGGAUGCUACCUUUCCAUACAAGUCAGUUCAUCAAAUUUCUGACCUGCAUGAGUAAGUGCUGUUAUUGUGAAGCGGAAAUGUCUAUGUGCAACAACGGCUUAGCCUCGAAGUGGCAGGCCACACAAGCUCACAGAACGGGACCGCCGAGUGCUGAAGCACAUACAAAUCAUCUAUCCUCAGUUAUAACACUCACUACCGAGUUCCAAACCUCUUCUGGAAGCAAUGUCAGCACAAGAACUGUUCGUCGGGAGCUUCAUGAAAUGGGUUUCCAUAGCCGCACACAAGCCUAAAAUCACUAAUGCGCAAUGCCAAGCUUCAGCUGGAGUGGUGUAAAGCUUGCCGGCAUUGGACUCUGGUGCAAUGGAAAUGUGCACGAUCUGUGUUUGCACCAUGUACUCUCACGACUGGUGUCCUCCAGGGCUCAGUUCAAGGCCCUCUUCUCUCUAUACUCCAAGUCACUCGGCUCCGUUAUAUACUCACAUGGUCUCUCCUAUCAUUGCUAUGCGGAUGACACUCAACUACUUUUCUCCUUUCCCCCUUCUGACAUCCAGGUGGUAACAUGCAUCUCUGCGUGUCUGGCAGAUAUCUCAGCUUGAAUGUCGUUCCACCACCUCAAGCUCAACCUCGACAAGAUGGAGCUGCUCUUCCUCCCAAGGAAGGCCUGCCAGAUCAAAGACCUCUCCAUCAAAGUUGACAACUCCAUGGUGUUCCCCUCUCAGAGUGCAAAGAACAUUUUUUUAUUUAAAAAAAAUAUAUAUAUUUUAAAUUUAAC